UACGUAGGGGGCUAGCGUUGUCCGGAUUUAUUGGGCGUAAAGAGCGUGUAGGCGGCCAGGUAAGUCAGGUGUGAAACCUCCAGGCUCAACCUGGAGACGCCACCUGAUACUGCUGUGGCUAGAGUCCGGUAGGGGAGCGUGGAAUUCCUGGUGUAGCGGUGAAAUGCGCAGAUAUCAGGAGGAACACCAGCGGCGAAGGCGGCGCUCUGGGCCGGAACUGACGCUGAGGAGCGAAAGCGUGGGUAGCAAACAGG
RNAcentral lists this ribosomal RNA (254 nucleotides) under uncultured bacterium. RNAcentral's name for it is "partial 16S ribosomal RNA". It matches the Rfam family "Bacterial small subunit ribosomal RNA", at positions 524 to 776 of the family's 1533-position model. The record is from RNAcentral.